CAAGUCGAACGAGAGGGCCCAUUGAUAUUUAUUGAAGUUUGGAGUGCUUGCACAAAGAAUGGAUUUAGAAGGAUUUGGAUUUUCCCUCUAGUGGCAAACGGGUGAGUAACACGUGGGUUACCUGCCUCUAAGUUGGGGAUAACAAUUGGAAACGAUUGAUAAUACCGAAUGUGCUCUACGGAGUAAAGAAGCCUUUAAAGCUUCGCUUAGAGAUGGGCCUGCGGCGUAUUAGCUAGUUGGUGGGGUAAUGGCCUACCAAGGCAACGAUGCGUAGCCGAACUGAGAGGUUGAUCGGCCACACUGGGACUGAGACACGGCCCAGACUCCUACGGGAGACAGCAGUUAGGAAUAUUCGUCAAUGGGGGAAACCCUGAACGAGCAAUGCCGCGUGAACGAUGACGGCCCUAUGGGUUGUAAAGUUCUGUUGUUUGGAAAGAAUGACUAGUAGAGGAAAUGCUAUUAGUUUGACGGUACCAUUCAAGAAAGCCACGGCUAACUACGUGCC
RNAcentral lists this ribosomal RNA (505 nucleotides) under uncultured organism. Its description in RNAcentral is "SSU rRNA". It matches the Rfam family "Bacterial small subunit ribosomal RNA", at positions 58 to 509 of the family's 1533-position model. The record is from RNAcentral.